This 157-nucleotide small RNA is filed under the name Drosophila guanche. Lineage: Eukaryota; Metazoa; Arthropoda; Insecta; Diptera; Drosophilidae. The record is from RNAcentral.
CUUCUGCUGUUGCUGCUGUUGCUGCUGGCAGCGACUACAACAGCUGUUGCUUUUGUUUUCAAUGGCGCUGCUGCUGAUGUCGCUGCCGCAGCGCUUAGUUUGUUGUAAGUAGUAUACUAGCAGAACAGAACAGCAGCAACAGCAACAACAACAAAUA